This 65-nucleotide transfer RNA is filed under the name Planorbarius corneus. RNAcentral describes it as "tRNA-Trp". The record is from RNAcentral. Lineage: Eukaryota; Metazoa; Mollusca; Gastropoda; Planorbidae.
AAAAUAUUAGGUUAAAAUAAACCAUUGACCUUCAAAGUCAAAAACCAUAAGAAAAUGAUAUUUUG